CUGGCUCAGGAUGAACGCUAGCGGCAGGCCUAAUACAUGCAAGUCGAACGGAUGUAGCAAUACAUUAGUGGCGCACGGGUGCGUAACGCGUAACCAACCUACCUGGAUCUGGGGGAUAGCCCGCCGAAAGGCGGAUUAAUACCGCAUACGCCCGUUGACUGGCAUCAGUUGAUGGGGAAAGAUUUAUUGGAUUCAGAUGGGGUUGCGUAGCAUUAGCUAGUUGGCGGGGUAGAGGCCCACCAAGGCGACGAUGCUUAGGGGACCUGAGAGGGUGAUCCCCCACACUGGCACUGAGAUACGGGCCAGACUCCUACGGGAGGCAGCAGUAGGGAAUAUUGGGCAAUGGGCGAGAGCCUGACCCAGCCAUGCCGCGUGCCGGAUGAAGGCCUUCUGGGUUGUAAACGGCUUUUCUCAGGGAAGAAAAAGAGGAUGCGUCCUAAACUGAC
Molecule: ribosomal RNA, 446 nt
Filed under: Hymenobacter sp. R-41496
Lineage: Bacteria; Pseudomonadati; Bacteroidota; Cytophagia; Cytophagales; Hymenobacteraceae
Description: bacterial SSU rRNA
Rfam family: Bacterial small subunit ribosomal RNA
Source: RNAcentral